Molecule: long non-coding RNA, 724 nt
Filed under: Olea europaea subsp. europaea
Lineage: Eukaryota; Viridiplantae; Streptophyta; Magnoliopsida; Lamiales; Oleaceae
Source: RNAcentral
UUGCUGGUCCCUCUCAAUUAAUGUCCUUUUCUGAGCUUUCCCAGCAGUCCACUUGAAUUUGUCUCCUGCGUUGUCGGCUCAAUCUCUCCAAUUCAAGCUCUUGAUGCUGUUGCCUCCCAGAUUUACUUUGUCUAGAAUUUCCCUCUGAUUUCGGCUAAAAUUCUCUUCAGAUUCUGGUUUUUUUGGAUGCCGACUGACUCCUACAAGAAUUUCCAAUGUGUUCUACCGGCUGCCUUCCGUUUUCUCUUCCCGUUCUCCUCCCUCAAUUAGGUCUUCUCAAUGGUAUAUAUGUUGGCAUGGAGUUUUAGAUGGGUUUGGGAUCAAUUGGGCCGAGAUAAUAUAUUUAAAAAUCUGAUUUCUUCCUGGUUCGGGACCCGGCACCGCAUCGCCCAUCACCGGCGCUGCACCGCUGGGUAUUCUGUUUUUGCCUACCGGGCGCCACAGCGCCCAUCUUUCUGCUUCUUUGCUGCUGAGUGUUCUGCCUUUCUCUUUUUCUUUUCUUCUUUCCUUUUGUUCUUUAUUUUCUUGGUUCAUUCUAUCCCUUCUUUCCACCAUUUCAUCCACCUUACAAGCAACAUUAAAACCUCAUGUUAAAGUAUCCAAAUUCAUAAGAAUUUGCUAAAUAGCAAGAUUAAAUGGCGUGAAAUUAAUGAGUGAAGUAUCACUCAUCAAAUACUCCCAAACUUACUAUUUUGCUAGUCCUCGAGCAAAUACCAAACCAAAU